GGAGGCCUGGAAACGAACCGAGGAGCAGGCUGAGCUGGUCAGCUUGGUUUGGCCUGCCUCUACCUUCCACCCAUCUCCACCUAUCCACAUCUUACCAGCAUCCACCUCCCUCCCCCAUCUCCAGUCUUCCUUCCUCACCUGAGAGAGGAAUCAAGUUCUUGGAAAGUAGUGCUCUAUUCUGGGGCUAGAAGCCAACUCCCUGUGAAGGCCCCCUGUUGAGCUCCGACAAAGGUGUUGGAUUCAUAGCUCACACAGAAAAGGCCUCUAUUUCACUAGUAGGGAAACUGAGGCCAGGCGGUGAAAUGACUGGCCCAGACUCCUAACCUACUGUUUGGAACCAGAGGGGUGACAAAGCCUCACUUUGAAGCUGGCUGGGAUCUGCCCUUUUCUAACUGUAGCUGAGGGACCCUGAGGGAGAAACGCAGCGCAUGGAGACUCAGUUUCAAAUCUGUAAAGUGGGCAGAUACGGAGACAAUAUCCUAUUUAGUGCACGGUAAGCACGCAGUCACGCUUAUUUUUCACCUUUGCACGAGGCUGCUGACAGCCUGCCAGUCUCUCCCACAGCGGGUGCCAAGUUUCUGCCUCCUCUUCCCUGGCUGCCGCCCUCCCCACCCCAGCGAUGAGUCUUCAGUCGGGCUGGUUACUCACCACGCGGCGGGCACAUGCUGAGCGGGCACUGGGCGGACACUGGGCUGGAGCUGGAUCCGGACGGUGGACGCAGCAGGCAGCUUCCACCUUGUGGGCCGACAGGACUACUCUAGCUCCAGCCAUCACACCUGCAUUUCAACUGUUGGGAAGGGGAUAAGUGGAAAGGGAGAGCAUACUUCUUUCCCUCAAGCUGUGCUUGAUGGAAACAUCUGUUCUUCAGGUAAAAGCCAAGAAGAACCAGUUUUAGACUGGUGUCUGAUUUGCUGAAGAGCUUGGAAGGUACCAGAGGAGAUUCAUGUCGAAAUCCCAUCUCCUGUUCUCCAAUCUUACUUUCUAUGAAGACAAAACUUUGAAGACAAACUGAGUUUCCACAGGAAUAAUCACACAGAAGGACAGACCACUGCUAAUUUAGGUAGCUGGCGAUGCAGGGGUGUUGCCUCCUCUCCAGCAUGUCAGCCCAACUUCCUUUCAGUCUCUGCUGUCCAAGACCCGGUCUAGCUAGUUCAAACUCAUCUUCUCACCAAAUUCCAAGGCUAUUAAAGAUUCAAGGACAGGGCUCAGUUGGUUAAGCAUCCAACUCUUGAUUUCAGCUCAGGUCAUGAUCUCACCGUUCAUGAGUUCAAGCCCCAUGCUGGGCUCUGCACUGACAGUGCGGAGCCUGCUUGGGAUUCUCUC
This is a long non-coding RNA of Felis catus (domestic cat), 1323 nucleotides long. RefSeq lists it as uncharacterized. The record is from RefSeq and is a predicted model, not a curated record. Lineage: Eukaryota; Metazoa; Chordata; Mammalia; Carnivora; Felidae. The transcript is spliced from 4 exons.